UGCUCUAACGGAAUAUAAACCAUGUCUUGCACAGUUCACCAAGGAGACAGGGAACAGCAACUACUAGAAAAGCUCUGAGAGCACCAGUACUCAGGAAUUAUUUUUUAAAUGGAUAACUAGUGCACUAGACACUUCGAAUUUUAUGUACACGUCACCCGUAUAGUUGCCGUAGUUCACUCAAUAUGUGAAAUCCCUGCUAUUUUUUUAUUCGCAGGAAAAUAAGAACAUGCAUUUUUUUUUUUUUUUGACGCGCACAUAAACAAACAUGAUAGCAAAUAAAGCAAUAGCCGUUUGUUUGAGGAAUUAAAUUGCGCGCGUACAUAUUGCUAGAACGAAAAAGAAAGAGCGCAAAUUUCAAAAACGCUUAAUAACUUUUCUAAACGGCAGUUCGAGCGCACCGCGAAGGUGUUUAUGCGAAAGGUUAUCUCACUGAUCUCCACUAGGGGGUUGGUUAUCUACACACAGAAAAAAAAAACAAGAAUAUUUAGAAUUUGAAAUGGUUCAGUCUUAUUUUCGCUUGCGAAAGAGCGAGUGAAAAUGUGUUUUAGUGGGUGGAAACGUACGAUAAGAUCUCGUACCUACGUUCGGCUCUAUCAACUUAUGAAUCUAACGCCGUCUCUUCGUAUCUCCUGAAAAUGUACAUGAAGUACGCAAUGCUGAAUCAUUGUUAAAAAAAAAGAAAAAAAAUGCGCCCGAACGGGGGCUCGAACCCCGGACCGUUAGGUUAAAAGCCUAACGCUCUACCGACUGAGCUAUCCGGGCGCUCGGAAAUGGCGCCUCAAAAGCCGUUCUUAAACUAUACCUCUACCACUUGAAUGCGGACGUUCUAAGUUUGCAUAGGUUUCGUGUGGGUCAAAGUGCGCUCCUAACGCUAAGCCGCGCGGAUACGCGAUCAAUUCUUAGCUUUUUGAGUUGUUAGAAGUGUUUCCUUGUUUUAUUUUCGCCGACUCUUGCGGGACAAGUUCAAAUGAAACCGUGGUAUGCUCCGCCACGACGGAAACUACUCGGGCAAGCCUUUUUCAACUGCAAUUCUCCAGUCACAAAAAUAUCCGAAACGAUUAUGCCUUUCCCGCCACAAAACAUUCACUGACUGACUUAUGGCCGAUCCCCCAGAGCGGGUUGCGCCAUUUCACUCGAGAACAAGGCCAAGAUCGACACGCUGAUUACUUUGUUACGAUGUUAUUAGCUUAUUAGACGAUACGAAACGGGGCUAACGCAGUGUUCUCUGUGUGUCUUCGCAGUGUGGAGACACGUUCACGUCAUGCACGGCAACAGCUGGUCAAACGGAUCCUGUCGAUGUACUUCGUUCUUUGGAUCUAUACGAAGACCAAACCGUUCGUGAAAUUGGUUUUCAAAUGCCAUAGUGUUGGACUUCCUCAAUCUCAUCAAAUGGUUGUAUUGCGAGCCCCAAGUCUCGGAAUGCUUUAAUGUGGGGGUGUGUGGGAGCAACCGACUAGGUCGCGAGUCAAGGCUCUUGAGCAGAACAGGCUAACCAAGUACGCCUACUAGAGAAAGUCCGCAAAGUAGUACAGUCCGAAAUGAAAGAAUAGGAAUCGCUCUGCGACUCGCUCAAACAAAACCCAGUAAAGGUGCUCACAAACGUGUACCUUCUCUGCACGCCGCGACACCAGUAGGGCUACGCGCAUGACAACACCAGGAUAAAAGCUGUCAACUGGUAGAAGGACAAGGGAUAAGAGCGGGCUGCAUGUUCUGAGAAAGGAGGAGGAGAUUAAUGUGCACCACUGAUUCUCCCCUAAAGCUUUUCUUUCAGUCGGUGUCAUGGGUAGGACUAUCAGUGACGGACAAUAAAGACCCAUUCACCUUUUGG
Long non-coding RNA from Dermacentor andersoni, 1828 nucleotides. RefSeq lists it as uncharacterized. The record is from RefSeq and is a predicted model, not a curated record. Lineage: Eukaryota; Metazoa; Arthropoda; Arachnida; Ixodida; Ixodidae.